Molecule: ribosomal RNA, 3128 nt
Filed under: Streptomyces sp. E5N91 SAI-083
Lineage: Bacteria; Bacillati; Actinomycetota; Actinomycetes; Kitasatosporales; Streptomycetaceae
Description: bacterial LSU rRNA
Rfam family: Bacterial large subunit ribosomal RNA
Source: RNAcentral
UGUGGCCAAGUUUUUAAGGGCGCACGGUGGAUGCCUUGGCACCAGGAACCGAUGAAGGACGUGGGAGGCCACGAUAGGCCCCGGGGAGUCGUCAACCAGGCUUUGAUCCGGGGGUGUCCGAAUGGGGAAACCCGGCAGUCGUCAUGGGCUGUCACCCGCUGCUGAACACAUAGGCAGUGUGGAGGGAACGCGGGGAAGUGAAACAUCUCAGUACCCGCAGGAAGAGAAAACAACCGUGAUUCCGGGAGUAGUGGCGAGCGAAACCGGAUGAGGCUAAACCGUAUACGUGUGAGACCCGGCAGGGGUUGCGUGUGCGGGGUUGUGGGAUCUCUCUUCUGUUGUCUGCCGGCAACAGGACGAGUCAGAAACCGUUGAUGUAGGCGAAGGACAUGCGAAAGGUCCGGCGUAGAGGGUAAGACCCCCGUAGUCGAAACAUCAGCGGCUCGUUGGAGAGACACCCAAGUAGCACGGGGCCCGAGAAAUCCCGUGUGAAUCUGGCGGGACCACCCGCUAAGCCUAAAUAUUCCCUGGUGACCGAUAGCGGAUAGUACCGUGAGGGAAUGGUGAAAAGUACCGCGGGAGCGGAGUGAAAUAGUACCUGAAACCGUGUGCCUACAAGCCGUGGGAGCGUCGGACAUCAAGCUUGCUUGGUGUCUCGUGACUGCGUGCCUUUUGAAGAAUGAGCCUGCGAGUUUGCGGUGUGUUGCGAGGUUAACCCGGGUGGGGAAGCCGUAGCGAAAGCGAGUCCGAACAGGGCGAUUUUAGUAGCACGCUCAAGACCCGAAGCGGAGUGAUCUAGCCAUGGGCAGGUUGAAGCGGCUGUAAGAGGUCGUGGAGGACCGAACCCACCAGGGUUGAAAACCUGGGGGAUGACCUGUGGUUAGGGGUGAAAGGCCAAUCAAACUCCGUGAUAGCUGGUUCUCCCCGAAAUGCAUUUAGGUGCAGCGUCGUGUGUUUCUUGCCGGAGGUAGAGCACUGGAUAGGCGAUGGGCCCUACCGGGUUACUGACCUUAGCCAAACUCCGAAUGCCGGUAAGUGAGAGCGCGGCAGUGAGACUGUGGGGGAUAAGCUCCAUGGUCGAGAGGGAAACAGCCCAGAGCAUCGACUAAGGCCCCUAAGCGUACGCUAAGUGGGAAAGGAUGUGGAGUCGCACAGACAACCAGGAGGUUGGCUUAGAAGCAGCCACCCUUGAAAGAGUGCGUAAUAGCUCACUGGUCUAGUGAUUCCGCGCCGACAAUGUAGCGGGGCUCAAGCGUACCGCCGAAGUCGUGUCAUUCAUACAACAGGGCCAACGCCUGUAUGGAUGGGUAGGGGAGCGUCGUGUGCCGGGUGAAGCAGCCGCGGAAGCGAGUUGUGGACGGUUCACGAGUGAGAAUGCAGGCAUGAGUAGCGAUACAAACGUGAGAAACGUUUGCGCCGAUUGACUAAGGGUUCCUGGGUCAAGCUGAUCUGCCCAGGGUAAGUCGGGACCUAAGGCGAGGCCGACAGGCGUAGUCGAUGGAUAACCGGUUGAUAUUCCGGUACCCGCUGUGAAGCGUCAAACAUCGAACCAGGCGAUGCUAAGUCCGUGAAGCCGCCCCUGAUCUCUUCGGAGUGAGGGGGAGUGGUGGAGCCGAUGAUCCAGACCUGUAGUAGGUGAGUGAUGGGGUGACGCAGGAAGGUAGUCCAUCCCGGGCGGUGGUUGUCCCGGGGUAAGGGUGUAGGCCGGUGUGUAGGUAAAUCCGCACACCUUGUGGCUGAGACCUGAUGCCGAGCCGAUUGUGGUGAAGUGGAUGAUCCUAUGCUGUCGAGAAAAGCCUCUAGCGAGUUUCAUGGCGGCCCGUACCCUAAACCGACUCAGGUGGUCAGGUAGAGAAUACCGAGGCGUUCGGGUGAACUAUGGUUAAGGAACUCGGCAAAAUGCCCCCGUAACUUCGGGAGAAGGGGGGCCACACUCGGUGACCGGAUUUACUCCGUGAGCUGGGGGUGGCCGCAGAGACCAGCGAGAAGCGACUGUUUACUAAAAACACAGGUCCGUGCGAAGCCGUAAGGCGAUGUAUACGGACUGACGCCUGCCCGGUGCUGGAACGUUAAGGGGACCGGUUAGUCCAGAUUCGUCUGGGCGAAGCUGAGAACUUAAGCGCCAGUAAACGGCGGUGGUAACUAUAACCAUCCUAAGGUAGCGAAAUUCCUUGUCGGGUAAGUUCCGACCUGCACGAAUGGCGUAACGACUUCUCGACUGUCUCAACCAUAGGCCCGGUGAAAUUGCACUACGAGUAAAGAUGCUCGUUUCGCGCAGCAGGACGGAAAGACCCCGGGACCUUUACUACAGUUUGAUAUUGGUGUUCGGUUCGGCUUGUGUAGGAUAGCUGGGAGACUUUGAAGCUCGCACGCCAGUGUGGGUGGAGUCGUCGUUGAAAUACCAGUCUGGUCGUGCUGGAUGUCUAACCUGGGUCCGUGAUCCGGAUCAGGGACAGUGUCUGAUGGGUAGUUUAACUGGGGCGGUUGCCUCCUAAAGAGUAACGGAGGCGCCCAAAGGUUCCCUCAGCCUGGUUGGCAAUCAGGUGUUGAGUGUAAGUGCACAAGGGAGCUUGACUGUGAGACCGACGGGUCGAGCAGGGACGAAAGUCGGGACUAGUGAUCCGGCGGUGGCUUGUGGAAGCGCCGUCGCUCAACGGAUAAAAGGUACCCCGGGGAUAACAGGCUGAUCUUCCCCAAGAGUCCAUAUCGACGGGAUGGUUUGGCACCUCGAUGUCGGCUCGUCGCAUCCUGGGGCUGGAGUCGGUCCCAAGGGUUGGGCUGUUCGCCCAUUAAAGCGGUACGCGAGCUGGGUUUAGAACGUCGUGAGACAGUUCGGUCCCUAUCCGCUGUGCGCGUAGGAGUCUUGAGAAGGGCUGUCCCUAGUACGAGAGGACCGGGACGGACGAACCUCUGGUGUGCCAGUUGUCCUGCCAAGGGCAUGGCUGGUUGGCUACGUUCGGGAGGGAUAACCGCUGAAAGCAUCUAAGCGGGAAGCCUGCUUCGAGAUGAGGACUCCCACCCCCUUGAGGGGUUAAGGCUCCCAGUAGACGACUGGGUUGAUAGGCCGGAUCUGGAAGCACCGUGAGGUGUGGAGGUGACCGGUACUAAUAGGCCGAGGGCUUGUCCUC